CUACGGGAGGCAGCAGUGGGGAAUCUUGGACAAUGGGCGCAAGCCUGAUCCAGCCAUGCCGCGUGAGUGAUGAAGGCCUUAGGGUCGUAAAGCUCUUUCGCCAGAGAUGAUAAUGACAGUAUCUGGUAAAGAAACCCCGGCUAACUCCGUGCCAGCAGCCGCGGUAAUACGGAGGGGGUUAGCGUUGUUCGGAAUUACUGGGCGUAAAGCGUACGUAGGCGGAUUAGUCAGUCAGAGGUGAAAUCCCAGGGCUCAACCCUGGAACUGCCUUUGAUACUGCUAGUCUUGAGUUCGAGAGAGGUGAGUGGAAUUCCAAGUGUAGAGGUGAAAUUCGUAGAUAUUUGGAGGAACACCAGUGGCGAAGGCGGCUCACUGGCUCGAUACUGACGCUGAGGUACGAAAGUGUGGGGAGCAAACAGGAUUAGAUACCCUGGUAGUCCACACCGUAAACGAUGAAUGCCAGUCGUCGGGCAGUAUACUGUUCGGUGACACACCUAACGGAUUAAGCAUUCCGCCUGGGGAGUACGGUCGCAAGAUUAAAACUUAAAGGAAUUGACGGA
This 560-nucleotide ribosomal RNA is filed under the name uncultured bacterium. RNAcentral describes it as "bacterial SSU rRNA". It matches the Rfam family "Bacterial small subunit ribosomal RNA", at positions 339 to 917 of the family's 1533-position model. The record is from RNAcentral.